CCAAUAACAAAAACUGAAACAUAUUGAAUUGAUACAUUUUGUAAUUAUUCAAAAUUAUAUCAGAAACCUAAACUUAAUUAUAAAAAAAUGAACCUGUUAAGGGGAGACAAUACUCGCAUAACUUUUUCGAAUUGGCACAUAAUACAACGGAAUGUCACUCUUGCAUACAAAUAGCACAUCAAUAUAAUUAAUUAACUGUGCAAUCGUGCUCCACCUUCAAUGAUGAUUCUCCAUUAUAAAUAUAACCAAAAGUUGGUAUUUAUAGAUAGUGAAGACUAAUGAAAGCUAACCCACUGUAAAAAUAUUUCUUUGCAAUUUUUUAAAACUUCCUCAGAAAAAUGCUCGAGCC
RNAcentral lists this long non-coding RNA (349 nucleotides) under Mytilus galloprovincialis (Mediterranean mussel). The record is from RNAcentral. Lineage: Eukaryota; Metazoa; Mollusca; Bivalvia; Mytilida; Mytilidae.